This 393-nucleotide ribosomal RNA is filed under the name uncultured bacterium. RNAcentral describes it as "partial 16S ribosomal RNA". It matches the Rfam family "Bacterial small subunit ribosomal RNA", at positions 523 to 918 of the family's 1533-position model. The record is from RNAcentral.
AUACGGAGGAUGCGAGCGUUAUCCAGAUUUAUUGGGUUUAAAGGGAGCGUAGGUGGGAUAUUAAGUCAGCUGUGAAAGUUUGGGGCUCAACCUUAAAAUUGCAGUUGAUACUGGUUUCCUUGAGUACGGUACAGGUGGGCGGAAUUCGUGGUGUAGCGGUGAAAUGCUUAGAUAUCACGAAGAACUCCGAUCGCGAAGGCAGCUCACCGGGCCGGAACUGACACUGAUGCUCGAAAGUGCGGGUAUCAAACAGGAUUAGAUACCCUGGUAGUCCGCACAGUAAACGAUGAAUACUCGCUGUUUGCGAUACACGGUAAGCGGCCAAGCGAAAGCGUUAAGUAUUCCACCUGGGGAGUACGCCGGCAACGGUGAAACUUAAAGGAAUUGACGGGG